GCAAUUUUCAUCUAGGCAUUCAGGAAAUGGAACAGGAUUAGAUCUACAGAAAAUACAACUGCAGAAGUCUUGCCAGAACAGCAUGUUGCUUCCUCCACCAUCCUGUCAAAGUCACGUCUGAUGAGGAUGAAUACUCUGUACCACCCUGACCUACCUGUUAGGAGGACGGAUUCUGAACUGGAUGAUUAUGGACACUGAUUUUCUUUCCUCUUCAAAAUUACUGUCUCCAAACUAAGAGAUUCAAAGAGGCUGGAACCUACCUCUCCUGCUGACUGUGAAUGAAGACUGCAGUAUAUUCAGCUACAAGUCCAUCUGCUCUUUAACUUUUUUUUUUUUUUUUUAAUUCUAUCUAAGAGUGUUUUUCCUUUGAAGUUUCCAGCACCAUUUAUGAAGGCUCAAAAGGAGUAUUAUUCAUAUGUUUCAGAUGAGGAAAGCUGAACUGUCAAAGUAACAUCUGACUUGUGAGUAGCCAGUAUUCUCCAAGGCAUCAGCAUUUAAGAGGACCUGAGAAAAGAUCCUGUGCCUACCAGGAAAUUUCACUGAUCUCAUCAAGCCACAAAACUCAGGAAGGAGGAAAAAUCUGCACAAAUUAAGAAGUGCCCAGUAGAUCAUGCUGUCUUGUUGAAAACUCCAGUGGUAACUGGGCUUCUAUGGGAUUAUUUUUAGCAGUAAAAGAGUAGAUGGUGUAAGAUAAGUGAAGAGGGAUUCCAUAAAUAGCUGCAUUUCAAUUGCCUGUUUGACAUAAACUUAAUUGUUACAACAAACGGCACAAAAUGACAAAAAUGAACACCUUUCUACUCAGAAGAUAAACUGUUUUUAAAUAGAAAGGAAUGAAACCUAGGUCUAUCAUUUUUAGAAUCCCAGUGAACUAGAAUGGACAUGACUGGAGAAGCAGAGACACCUGAGCAGCUUUGAAGACAUUUCUCUGGCAUGUUCUCACUGACUCUGAGACCUAUUUCCAACCACAGUGUCUGCUCAUCCUAGUGCAGCACCCUUCAAACCUACCUUCCCCAAAGGAUUCAGCAGACAUGGUUGAGAAAAGAGCGAAGCACAAGCUGGAUCUACAGAGCCUCAGGAGGAAUCCCAGGCAAACAAUGCACUUGGGGGAAGACAUCUCAACAACAGCCAGAUCUGCUCUACUCUGCCCGCAGCCUUGGUAAGGCACAGCAUCACAGGAAGAGGAACGCGAAUUCCUGUGAGACAAGUACUGGUGCAGAGGAGGGGGGAAGACAAGACUUGAUCAUAUAAAGAAGAGUUAGGCAGGUUCCUAAGUAGAGCUGUGAGACAACAAGAGAGAGGCACAGUUGUGUUUUUAUGCACAGAAGGCCAGAGUUGAGUCUGGUUUCUUGAGGGUGAUGUCCUGGCAAGUACUCUGGCACACAUGCUGUAGUAUAGUGUUCCAGUGCAUCCGUACAUCCAUCUAUGCUGCAAAUGGCACGGGAGUGAGAUUUUAAUAAAAGAAGAAGGAAUGAAACCA
This 1477-nucleotide long non-coding RNA is filed under the name Junco hyemalis (dark-eyed junco). RNAcentral describes it as "lncRNA (ENSJHYG00000016191.1)". The record is from RNAcentral. Lineage: Eukaryota; Metazoa; Chordata; Aves; Passeriformes; Passerellidae.